Molecule: long non-coding RNA, 451 nt
Organism: Candoia aspera
Lineage: Eukaryota; Metazoa; Chordata; Lepidosauria; Squamata; Candoiidae
Exons: 3
Source: RefSeq, a predicted model, not a curated record
UCCUAAGCUUGAAGGUCAUAGCAGAAGAACAUAGCAGCCUCUACAGCUCUUUCAAUCAACACAGCCAGGUGACAGCCAUUUGAAGCUUCCUCAGUGCAUUAGUUGUAAGUGGAGACUAAAUUUUUGUGGUUAAGGUCCAAAUAAAAUUGCUGCACACAAAAGUUAACCUCCUCAAAAGCGAACAACUAAUUGUUGCUUUUUCUUGGAUUCUGCAUCACUAAAGGUUAAGGUCUGCCCGCCAUCUCCAUCAUACAUGAAAUACAAAGUCAUAAAAGCUCCUGGCAUGCCACAGGAAGGCCAAAUAUAGUCCCUGCCCAGAAAACAUUGAAGGAAGUCAUUAUAGCAGCCACUGUUGCCUCCUCGGAAUCUGCUGCUGGAGGCAGUUUUAGUAGUCUGAUUAAUAGUAGGGCUUUGAGAAACAUUUCAGGAGACUCAUCAAGAAAAGCAUUAA